This is a long non-coding RNA of Cynoglossus semilaevis (tongue sole), 983 nucleotides long. RefSeq lists it as uncharacterized. NCBI's taxonomy places the organism in Eukaryota, Metazoa, Chordata, Actinopteri, Pleuronectiformes, Cynoglossidae. The transcript has 4 exons. The record is from RefSeq and is a predicted model, not a curated record.
UUGUUGAAACAUACUUUCUCAUUUUAGGGUCAAGGCUCACAAGUAUAGUUUUUAUGACAAAUUCAGAUGUUCUAUUGAUUUGUGUUAAAGAUUUGACAUGUUUCACUUCUUUCAGCCAUUGCUGAUACAGAGAAUGAGGAGAAUGAGGUAUGAUUGUCCACACUGUCCACUGUAUACCUAGUUAUGCCUCAACUAGUCAUUAUUGAGACAAGAUUGAACUUAAAGUUGUGUUUGUUUGUAGCAGUUUGUUAUAAAAUUAUAAAUUAAAUCAAUUUAAGCAAUUUUGCUUUUCUGACAUUGUUUUCCAGAACUCAGACAUCUCCAGUGACAGUAGCACAAUAAUUGUUGAGCACGCUUCAAACAAUGAGAUUGUGGACUUAUCUGUACCUGCACUCGUCAGAACAGACAAUGUUAUUGUUAAUGAGAAAAAGUAUGGAUAUGCAGAUGAAAGAGAGGAAUCCCUUUCAAGCUCGGAUUUCAGUGAGGAGGAAUAUCUCCCCAGUUACACGUCAUCUGAUGAAACAGAUGACUCUUCUGCAAAAGUCCACCAUGGCAAGGAGAAAAUAGCUACAGACAGUGAGCUAUCUGAUUCUGAUGAUGAAAUGACUUUGAAUUCCACAAAUGUGCAACUGCCCUCAGCUGUGUCCUUAUCCCCAUCAGCACCACCUUCAGAAUUGAAGACAAUCUCCAGCAUUGACCUGGGACAAAAUGAUGCUCAUCCAUCAAGAGGUAAAAACAUUCUAGAUAAGACAAGAUAAUCAACAUAAAAGGAUUAUUGUGCCUUUUGUCCUGCUCGUGUGUUGCUCUCAUUCUGUUAUGUUAAUGCAGCAGCACACUAGAGUGGUGCUCUUUGCCCUGCCCCCCACCAUAAACAUUAGUUUUCAUUUUCAGCACGUUUUAAGAUAGAGGAGGGAGCAGCAGUUUAAGUUGAACAUAAACUAUUACUAGCUAUGUUUGUUAAGAUUUGCAGUUUGUUCAGAAUA